AGAACCACCAAAAGGGGUGAUGACCAGCGAUCUCAUGAGAAGUCUGGAUGUUAGUUCUCAUGCCUCGGGACACCCAGUUGGGAACGCCACACCAGCUCCUGGGAUCCGACUUCCAUCCACUUAAUACCCUUUUUUGCCUGAACUACUAGAGCCAGUCCUAGCUAACCACGAAUGGCUACCCAAAGGAAACAUUUGGUGAAAGAUUUCAAUCCUUACAUCACCUGCUAUAUCUGUAAAGGGUAUCUCAUCAAGCCAACUACAGUGACGGAAUGCCUUCAUACCUUCUGCAAGACUUGUAUUGUCCAGCACUUUGAAGAUAGCAAUGAUUGUCCAAGGUGUGGCAACCAGGUUCAUGAGACAAACCCAUUAGAAAUGUUGAGGUUGGAUAACACACUAGAGGAAAUUAUAUUUAAGUUGGUUCCUGGACUACGAGAACAAGAACUUGAGCGUGAGUCUGAAUUUUGGAAGAAAAAUAAGCCUCAAGAAAAUGGACAAGAUGAUAUGUCAAAAGCUGACAAGCCUAAAGCAGAUGAAGAAGGUGAUGAAAACCAAGAUGAUAAAGACUAUCACAGAAGUGACCCACAAAUUGCUAUAUGUCUAGAUUGUUUACGAAAUAAUGGACAAUCAGGGGACAACGUAGUAAAGGGGUUAAUGAAGAAAUUCAUUCGGUGUUCUACACGUGUAACUGUGGGAACUAUUAAAAAAUUUCUAAGUUUAAAACUAAAACUUCCAAGUUCUUAUGAGUUGGAUGUGCUGUGCAAUGGUGAAAUUAUGGGGAAGGAUCAUACUAUGGAGUUCAUCUACAUGACCAGAUGGCGACUAAGAGGCGAAAACUUUCGGUGUCUGAACUGCUCAGCUUCGCAAGUCUGCCCUCAGGAUGGCCCUUUGUAUCAGUCAUACCCCAUGGUGUUGCAGUAUCGACCAAGAAUUGAUUUCGGUUAGACCAAGGGGCCCAGACCCCACUGAUGAACCCCGCACUAUGUGUUACUCAUCGACAGACUGCACAGUGAAAGAAUCAAGUGAAACAUGAAAUACUGGGUCCAGUUUUCUUCCAUUUUUCAGAGCUUCAUGGAAUAAGAAACGAAUCUAGUGUAAACUGAAGAUUAAGUGUUUCUGGGCAGUGCAGAGACGGUGGAUAGAUUAUGUGUCUGUGGACUCCACAUCAGUCCAGCACAGCAGGCGUUCUGCACAUUAGAAAUGGAAUGGGAUCAGCCUAACGUUGUUCGGGGGCAGUUUUCUUUUGCUGUAUUUUUUUGAAUGGGGAUAGGGGCCCAAGUGUCCUUAUGAAGCUGUGGUCGGCGACAAGAGCUUAUGGGGGGAGCACCAGUGUUCUGCGCUUCCUGCUUCUGGCAGCACAGCAGCAAGCACCAGUUCUUAACAGAGUAGCCCUCACGUUAAAUUAAACCAUCAUAGACUAUACUGUACAGUUCUGUUGCUAAUUUUCCUUUGAAAUAUGAAAUAUUUUAAGCUUUCUUUUUGUCAAAAGUGGUAACAUCUUAAUACAAAUAAAAACCUUUUUGUGGUUGUAAGAUUUAGCUUAUGAAUCAUUCAAAUUGAAGUGAAAGAUUACCAGGUCAUUGUUAAUGACUUAGUCUAUUAAGAAUAUAUGUAUUUUUGUAAAGGGAAAGCACUUGUAGAUAUUUAAUCAGUACUAUAUGUCUGUUUUGCAGAAAUAAAAUGCUGCUUAGAGAUUCUCUUUAAAUAUUUUUUAUUUUUGUGCUCAAAUGUAUUUUCUGUUGAUCUAUGGAAUGUUCUGUACAAAGCUGUAUGGUUGUACUGUUGGGCUAGAUACUUUUGUUUUUUAAAAUCUGGACUUAGCCAAGUAUAUUUGACCAUGUUAAAAAUAGUAUCUUUGUUAUUAAAAACUU
Molecule: RNA transcript, 1868 nt
Organism: Budorcas taxicolor (takin)
Lineage: Eukaryota; Metazoa; Chordata; Mammalia; Artiodactyla; Bovidae
Gene: PCGF5
Gene name: polycomb group ring finger 5
Exons: 10
Source: RefSeq, a predicted model, not a curated record